GCCGGGUACGCUGGCACGUGCCUGUAGUCCCAGAUACUUGGGAGGCUGAGGUGGGAGGAUUGCUUGAGCCCAGGAGUGUUGAGCUGUAGUGCGCUAUGCUGAUCAGGUGUCUGCAGUAAGUUCGGCAUCAAUACGGUGACCUCCCAGGAGCAGGGAACCACCAGGUUGCCUAAGGAGGGGUGAACCUGCCCAGGUCGGAAAUGGAGCAGGUCAAAACUCACAUGCUGAUCGGCAGUGGGACUGCACCUGUGAAGAGCCACUGCAUUUCAGCCUGGGCAACAUAGCAAGAUCCAGUCUCUA
Callithrix jacchus (white-tufted-ear marmoset) is the source of this 300-nucleotide unclassified non-coding RNA. It matches the Rfam family "Metazoan signal recognition particle RNA". From Rfam's summary of the family: The signal recognition particle (SRP) is a universally conserved ribonucleoprotein. It is involved in the co-translational targeting of proteins to membranes. The eukaryotic SRP consists of a 300-nucleotide 7S RNA and six proteins: SRPs 72, 68, 54, 19, 14, and 9. The record is from Ensembl. Lineage: Eukaryota; Metazoa; Chordata; Mammalia; Primates; Cebidae.